GGGGAUAUGGCGGAAUUGGCAGACGCAACGGACUUAAAAUCCGUUGACUCAUUGAGUCGUAAGGGUUCAAGUCCCUUUAUCCCCA
RNAcentral lists this transfer RNA (85 nucleotides) under Autumnella corcontica. RNAcentral describes it as "Koliella corcontica tRNA-Leu". It matches the Rfam family "tRNA". Rfam says of the family: Transfer RNA (tRNA) molecules are approximately 80 nucleotides in length. The record is from RNAcentral. Lineage: Eukaryota; Viridiplantae; Chlorophyta; Trebouxiophyceae.